RNAcentral lists this transfer RNA (73 nucleotides) under Diaphorina citri (Asian citrus psyllid). It matches the Rfam family "tRNA". Rfam says of the family: Transfer RNA (tRNA) molecules are approximately 80 nucleotides in length. Their secondary structure includes four short double-helical elements and three loops (D, anti-codon, and T loops). Further hydrogen bonds mediate the characteristic L-shaped molecular structure. tRNAs have two regions of fundamental functional importance: the anti-codon, which is responsible for specific mRNA codon recognition, and the 3' end, to which the tRNAs corresponding amino acid is attached (by aminoacyl-tRNA synthetases). tRNAs cope with the degeneracy of the genetic code in two manners: having more than one tRNA (with a specific anti-codon) for a particular amino acid; and 'wobble' base-pairing, i.e. permitting non-standard base-pairing at the 3rd anti-codon position. The record is from Rfam by way of RNAcentral. Lineage: Eukaryota; Metazoa; Arthropoda; Insecta; Hemiptera; Psyllidae.
GCCUACUUAGCUGAGUUGGUAGUGCGUCUGCCUUGUAAGCGCUAGGCCGCGGGUUCGAUUCCCGCCCGGGGCG